Molecule: ribosomal RNA, 486 nt
Filed under: uncultured bacterium
Lineage: Bacteria
Description: partial 16S ribosomal RNA
Rfam family: Bacterial small subunit ribosomal RNA
Source: RNAcentral
GAUGAACGCUAGCGGCAGGCUUAAUACAUGCAAGUCGAGGGGCAGCAUGAAGUAGCCAUACUUUGAUGGCGACCGGCAAACGGGUGCGGAACACGUACACAACCUUCCUUUAAGUGGGGAAUAGCCCAGAGAAAUUUGGAUUAAUACCCCGUAACACAACUAAGUGGCAUCACUUUGUUGUUAUAGUUUCGGCGCUUAAUGAUGGGUGUGCGUAUGAUUAGAUAGUUGGCGAGGUAACGGCUCACCAAGUCUACGAUCAUUAGCUGAUGUGAGAGCAUGAUCAGCCACACGGGCACUGAGACACGGGCCCGACUCCUACGGGAGGCAGCAGUAAGGAAUAUUGGUCAAUGGACGCAAGUCUGAACCAGCCAUGCCGCGUGAAGGAUUAAGGUCCUCUGGAUUGUAAACUUCUUUUAUAUGGGACGAAAAAAGGUCUUUCUAGACCCCUUGACGGUACCAUAUGAAUAAGCACCGGCUAACUCCGUG